RNAcentral lists this ribosomal RNA (254 nucleotides) under uncultured prokaryote. RNAcentral describes it as "partial 16S ribosomal RNA". It matches the Rfam family "Bacterial small subunit ribosomal RNA", at positions 523 to 776 of the family's 1533-position model. The record is from RNAcentral.
AUACGUAGGGGGCUAGCGUUGUCCGGAUUUAUUGGGCGUAAAGCGCGUGUAGGCGGCCAGAUAGGUCUGGUGUGAAAACUCGAGGCUCAACCUCGAGAUGUCAUCGGAAACCAUCUGGCUAGAGUCCGGAAGUGGAGAGUGGAAUUCCUGGUGUAGCGGUGAAAUGCGCAGAUAUCAGGAAGAACACCUAUGGCGAAGGCAGCUCUCUGGGACGGUACUGACGCUGAGACGCGAAAGCGUGGGGAGCGAACAGG